Small nucleolar RNA from Eutrema salsugineum, 107 nucleotides. It matches the Rfam family "Plant small nucleolar RNA R71". Rfam says of the family: R71 is a member of the C/D box family of snoRNAs containing the C (UGAUGA) and D (CUGA) box motifs. Multiple nearly identical copies of this snoRNA have been identified in Arabidopsis, and it is thought to function as a 2'-O-ribose methylation guide for 18S ribosomal RNA. NCBI's taxonomy places the organism in Eukaryota, Viridiplantae, Streptophyta, Magnoliopsida, Brassicales, Brassicaceae. The record is from Rfam.
AAUCCAUGGUGGGGGCAGUCACGUUCAUACUCUUUAAAACGUUCCCAAGCUUCAUAGAAAGGUUUGACCAGUCUUUGCUGGAAACUUGAGAUCUUGUUUCUCAGUAC